This 187-nucleotide antisense RNA is filed under the name Halothece sp. PCC 7418. Its description in RNAcentral is "Antisense RNA which regulates isiA expression". It matches the Rfam family "Antisense RNA which regulates isiA expression". The record is from Rfam by way of RNAcentral. Lineage: Bacteria; Bacillati; Cyanobacteriota; Cyanophyceae; Chroococcales; Halothecacae.
GAUAACCAAAGAUGGUUAGGGGAUUGAGUGUGGGGUUACUGACGACACGCACAGCGCCAUCACUACCCGCCCAGGGGUCAAAAAUACCGCCCCAAAACAUCGCUUUGGAAACGAGGAGAAACGCACCAAUUCCGAGGAAAAUCAAGUGAAUCCCCAAAAUCGUGGUCAUUUUAUCUUUAUCUUGCCA